RNAcentral lists this ribosomal RNA (718 nucleotides) under uncultured Fusobacterium sp. Its description in RNAcentral is "bacterial SSU rRNA". It matches the Rfam family "Bacterial small subunit ribosomal RNA", at positions 33 to 764 of the family's 1533-position model. Lineage: Bacteria; Fusobacteriati; Fusobacteriota; Fusobacteriia; Fusobacteriales; Fusobacteriaceae. The record is from RNAcentral.
ACGCUGACAGAAUGCUUAACACAUGCAAGUCAACUUGAAUUUGGGUUUUUAACUUAGAUUUGGGUGGCGGACGGGUGAGUAACGCGUAAAGAACUUGCCUCACAGCUAGGGACAACAUUUAGAAAUGAAUGCUAAUACCUGAUAUUAUGAUUUUAAGGCAUCUUAGAAUUAUGAAAGCUAUAAGCACUGUGAGAGAGCUUUGCGUCCCAUUAGCUAGUUGGAGAGGUAACAGCUCACCAAGGCGAUGAUGGGUAGCCGGCCUGAGAGGGUGAACGGCCACAAGGGGACUGAGACACGGCCCUUACUCCUACGGGAGGCAGCAGUGGGGAAUAUUGGACAAUGGACCGAGAGUCUGAUCCAGCAAUUCUGUGUGCACGAUGAAGUUUUUCGGGAUGUAAAGUGCUUUCAGUUGGGAAGAAAGAAAUGACGGUACCAACAGAAGAAGUGACGGCUAAAUACGUGCCAGCAGCCGCGGUAAUACGUAUGUCACGAGCGUUAUCCGGAUUUAUUGGGCGUAAAGCGCGUCUAGGUGGUUAUGUAAGUCUGAUGUGAAAAUGCAGGGCUCAACUCUGUAUUGCGUUGGAAACUGUAUAACUAGAGUACUGGAGAGGUAAGCGGAACUACAAGUGUAGAGGUGAAAUUCGUAGAUAUUUGUAGGAAUGCCGAUGGGGAAGCCAGCUUACUGGACAGAUACUGACGCUAAAGCGCGAAAGCGUGG